AGUUUUCUUAACUGUAACAGGAGGAUGAUCAUUGCAACAUAUCUCAAAGUGUUGUUGCAAAGAUGAAAUGAAAGAGUACAUAGCAAAUGCACAAUAUCAUACUGGGCAACAUUGAUUUGAAAAUAAAGAUUUGCUGUUGUCAUUAGAAAUAUUACUGAGUUACAGUUUAUAUAUUCUUUUCACCUAAAAUAAAAUUGUGAUAAUUUUUCUGUCAUUAAAUACUUUUUUUUUUUUUUGAGACAGAGUUUCAUUCUGUC
Molecule: long non-coding RNA, 257 nt
Filed under: Homo sapiens (human)
Lineage: Eukaryota; Metazoa; Chordata; Mammalia; Primates; Hominidae
Description: non-protein coding lnc-OPN3-3:1
Source: RNAcentral